Molecule: long non-coding RNA, 573 nt
Filed under: Numida meleagris (helmeted guineafowl)
Lineage: Eukaryota; Metazoa; Chordata; Aves; Galliformes; Numididae
Description: lncRNA (ENSNMEG00000001364.1)
Source: RNAcentral
CCAACAAUGUCACCCAUCUACCCCAACAAUGUCACCCAUUGGGUGUCCCCAGCAGUGUCACCCAUUGUCCCCAACCAUGUCACCCACUGUCCCCAACCAUGUCACCCAUUGUCCCCAACAGCGUCACCCAUUGGUUGUCCCCAACAACGUCACCCAUUGUCCCCAACAACGUCACCCAUUGUCCCCAACAAUGUCACCCAUUGACCCCAACAAUGUCACCCGCCGGGUGUCCCCAGCAGUGUCACCCAUUGGUUGUCCCCAACAACGUCACCCAUUGUCCCCAACAACGUCACCCAUUGUCCCCAACAAUGUCACCCAUUGACCCCAACCAUGUCACCCAUUGUCCCCAACAGCGUCACCCAUUGUCCCCAACAGCGUCACCCAUUGGUUGUCCCCAACGUCACCCAUUGUCCCCAACAGCGUCACCCAUUGACCCCAACCAUGUCACCCAUUGUCCCCAACAGCACCACCCAUUGUCCCCAACAGCGUCACCCAAUGUUGUCCCCAACAAUGUCACCCAUUGUCCCCAACACUGUCACCCAUUGUCCCCAACAGCAUCACCCACUGGUUGUC